GGGCCCGCACAAGCGGUGGAGCAUGUGGUUUAAUUCGAUGAUACGCGAGGAACCUUACCAGGGCUUAAAUGUAGUCUGACAGCUUUAGAGAUAGAGUUUUCUUCGGACAGAUUACAAGGUGCUGCAUGGUUGUCGUCAGCUCGUGCCGUGAGGUGUCAGGUUAAGUCCUAUAACGAGCGCAACCCCUGUCGUUAGUUGCCAGCAUGUCAUGAUGGGGACUCUAACGAGACUGCCGGUGCAAACCGCGAGGAAGGUGGGGAUGACGUCAAAUCAUCACGGCCCUUACGUCCUGGGCCACACACGUGCUACAAUGGCCGGUACAGAGAGCAGCCACGUCGCAAGGCGGAGCGAAUCCCAAAAAGCCGGUCUCAGUUCGGAUUGAGGUCUGCAACUCGACCUCAUG
Molecule: ribosomal RNA, 403 nt
Filed under: uncultured bacterium
Lineage: Bacteria
Description: bacterial SSU rRNA
Rfam family: Bacterial small subunit ribosomal RNA
Source: RNAcentral